UAACCACUCAAGCCUAGCUUGGUAUUGGGGCUCGCAGUCUCGCGGCUCCUAAAAUCAGUGGCGGUGCCGUCUGGCUCUAAGCGUAGUAAUUUUCUCGCUAUGGAGUCCGGGUGGUUGCUUGCUAAAAACCUUAACUCCUCAC
Molecule: unclassified non-coding RNA, 142 nt
Filed under: uncultured Hyaloscyphaceae
Lineage: Eukaryota; Fungi; Ascomycota; Leotiomycetes; Helotiales
Description: sequence contains ITS2
Source: RNAcentral